UGGGGAAUAUUGGACAAUGGGCGAAAGCCUGAUCCAGCCAUGCCGCGUGUGUGAAGAAGGUCUUCGGAUUGUAAAGUACUUUAAGUUGGGAGGAAGGGCAGUAAGCGAAUACCUUGCUGUUUUGACGUUACCGACAGAAUAAGCACCGGCUAAUUCUGUGCCAGCAGCCGCGGUAAUACAGAGGGUGCAAGCGUUAAUCGGAAUUACUGGGCGUAAAGCGCGCGUAGGUGGUUCGUUAAGUUGAAUGUGAAAGCCCCGGGCUCAACCUGGGAACGGCAUCCAAACCUGGCGUGCUAGAGUAGGGCAGAGGGUGGUGGAAUGUCUUGUGUGGCGGUGCACUACGUGGAUAUAGAAAGGAAAACCAGUGGCGAAGGCAACCACCUGGGCACAUACUGACACUGUGGUGCGAAAGAGUGGGGAGCAAACAGG
RNAcentral lists this ribosomal RNA (429 nucleotides) under Pseudomonadota bacterium. Its description in RNAcentral is "Proteobacteria bacterium partial 16S ribosomal RNA". It matches the Rfam family "Bacterial small subunit ribosomal RNA", at positions 355 to 776 of the family's 1533-position model. Lineage: Bacteria; Pseudomonadati; Pseudomonadota. The record is from RNAcentral.